Molecule: long non-coding RNA, 5833 nt
Filed under: Heterocephalus glaber (naked mole-rat)
Lineage: Eukaryota; Metazoa; Chordata; Mammalia; Rodentia; Bathyergidae
Description: lncRNA (ENSHGLG00100045234.1)
Source: RNAcentral
GUUAGAUUGGCUAAUGGUUUGACUGUUUAGUUUAUUGUUGCAAAGAACCAACACUUCGAUUCAUUAAUUCUUUGUAUUUUCUUUGGUCUCAAUUUCAUUGAUUUCUGCUUUAAUCUUUAUAAUUUCCUUCCUUGCACCACUGUAGGGUUUGGAUUGUUCUUGUUUUCCUAGGCCCAUGACAUGCAUCAUUAGGGUAUUUAUUUGGGCUCACUCUGUUUUUGUGAUGUGGGCAUUCACAGCUAUAAAUUUCCCUCUUAGAAAUACUUUCAUUGUGUCCCAUAAGUUGUUAUGUUGUAUUGUAUGUUGUUCUGUUAUGUUGUACUGGAAUUAUCUUUUAGUUCUAGAAACUGUCUUAUGUUUUCCUUGAUUUCUUCUGUAACCCAUUGUUUAAGAUUGUAUUGUUCAGGGCUGGGGAUUUAGCUCAGUGGUGCGGCCACCUGCCUUGCAAGCGCAAGGUCCUGAGUUCGAUCCCCAGUACCCCUCGCCCCCAAAAGAGUAUAUUGUUUAGUUUCCAUGCUUUUGAAUAAUUUCUGUUUUCUUUUGUUGUCAAUUUCUAACUAUGUUGCACUAUAAUGUGAUAAUAUACAUGGUAUAAUUUCAAUUCUUUUAUAUUAAGCUUGCUUUAUCAGCUAGUAUGUGGUCUGUUUGGAGAAAGUUGCAUGUACUGCUGAAAAGAAUGUAUAUUCUGUUGUUGGAUGGAACACUCUAUAGAUCCUUAUUACGUCCAUUUCUUUGAAACUUUUGUUCAACUCAAUUAUUUCUUUUUUCCUUUUUUAAUCCAGUUGAUUUGUCUGUGUUAGUGGGGAACUGAAAUCUCUCACUAUAAUUGUGUAUAUCUGGUCUUUUAUGUCAAGUAGUUCUUGUUUUAGAAAGUUGGGUGUGCAGUUUUCAAUGUAUAUAUGCUAAUAAUUGUUAUCUCUUCAUGUUUGAUUGUUCCCUUAACCAAUAUGUAGUGACCAUCUUUGCCUCUUUUGAUCAGUUUUGUCUUGAAGUUCACUUUGUCUGGAUUUAGGUUCACUAUACCUACUUUUGGGGGGGUUCCUGUUGCAUGUGAUAUUGUUUUCCAUCUUUUGAUUUUUAUUGUAUUAGUUUCUUUUUUUGUUAAAUGUGUUUCUUGUAAACAGCAUACUUUAGAAUUUUGUUUCUUAAUCUAUCCUGCCAGCCCGUCUUUUGACUGUGGAAUUGAGACCAUUCAUGUUGAGAGUUAUAACUGAUAAGUAUUAAUUUAUUCCUGUCAUUGCCUUAUUUUCCUAUUGCUAAUCCCUCAUCUUUCCCUUCUACUUAACUACUCACCUUACCUGAUAUAUUCAUUCUAUUAGAUAUGUUCUUAUUUUUAGUUUCAUUGUCUCUUUCUAGUGUAUCCUUAAAAUUUUUUUGGAGUGUUGAUUCAGUAGUCAGGAAUUUCUUUAGGUGCUCCUUAUCAUGAAAGUAUCUUAUUUCUGCAUUAACUUUGAAAGAUAAUUUUGCAGGAUAUUUCAGCCUGGAUUAAAUUGUUUUAUUUUAGGGUUUGAAGCACUUCACUUCAAGAUCUUCUGGCCUUAAAGGCUUGUGUUGAGUAGUCUGCUGUAAUUUUAAUGGGUUUUCCUCCAUAAGUGAUUCAUUGUUUUUCCCUAUCCAAUUUUAAUACUCUAUUCUUGGGUUGGACUUCCUGGAUUAUGGCUAUGAUAUGUCAUAGAGAAGUUCUUUUCUGAUUAUGGCUAUUUGGGAUUCUAUAUGCCUCACUUACCUGUGUGUUAAAUUCUUUUCCCUUUUUGAGAAAGUUUCCUGCUUUUAUUUCAGUAAAUUGGAUUUUUAUAUCAUUUCUGCUGAUUUUUCACUAAUUCUGAUUAAUCAUGACAAGUCUUCUUUGCAUCAUCUAGGAUAUUUUGGAUCUAUUUUUCAUGUUCUCUUGAUGUUUUUAAGGUUUCUCUCAUUAAUUAUUCACCAAAUAAUAGCCUUCUUUUCCUUUUUUUUUUUUUUUUUGGUACUGGGGAUCAAACUCGGGUCCUUGCGCUUGUGGCAAAACCACUAAGCUAAAUCCCCGGCCCCAUAGCCUUCUUUUCUAAUUCUGACCUUCCAGUCUCACAUUGGUCACCUCUGCUACCCAUACUUUGAAUCAAAUGUUUAAUCUCCUGAGUUUCUAUUUGCAGCUCUUUUAUGGACUCUAAUUCUUUUUUGCGCUGGUAAUUCAUUUUGCAUCAUUUUCUGUAGCUCUUUGAGAUUUUUAUUAGUAUCUUCUAUAAACCUGCUAAUCAUUUUGUUUAUCUGGCCCAUUAUGUUUUGGCUUAUGUCUUCUGUGAGCUUGCCAAAUGCCUUAGUGAUCUAUUUUUUUUUUUUUAUCUCCCAGGUACUGUUUCAAAUAAUUCAGGUAUGUGGCUUUUAUUUUCCUUCCUUUCGAUGCCCUCUGUAUCAUCUUUGGGGGAGUUAGGAGUUUUUGGAGCCAUUUUAUUAGCUUGUCUUCUCGUUUUCUAUUUUGUUUCUUUGUUUGUGUUGAAGUGUACAGGUUGAUUGUAGUGGAAAGCUGUGUUUAUAGUAUGGAGACCUCUUUAGUUCAUGUUUACUUUUCAGUGGUAUCCUCUGAGCAUGGCUAACUGUUGGCCAUUGCCUCCAUCCUAGGUUCCAACCACCUCUGUUUAUUUGAGAUGGGAGGUUGCAGUAUAUUUGGCACAGUACCCAAUUUUCCAGGAAUGGGGCACAAUAUUAUUAAUUUCAAUUCUUUUACAUUUACUUAAGCUUGCUUUAUUGGCUAGUAUGUGGUCUGUUUUGCAGAGAGUUGCGCAUCCUGCUGAAAAUAAUGUAUAUUCUGUUGCUUGGUGGAAUACUCUAUAGAUAUCUAUUAAGUCCUAAUUCAGUAUACCAAGAAAAUUGGAAAUCUAUCUCUAAAUAUAAUUAUUACACAAAUGUUUAAAACAGUGUUUAUAAUGGCCCCAAAGUGGAAACAACCAAAACAUCCAUUAACUAAAGAAAGGAUAAACAAAAUGUAUCCAUGCAAUGAAAUGUUAUUCAUUCUUAAAAAGGAGUAAAGAGCUGAAAUGUGCUACAAAUGGAUUGAAUCUUGAAACAAUUAUGCUAAUUGAAAUAAGCCAGAUGGGAGAGGCUAUGACAUGGUUUAGAUCUAAAAUGUUCCCACAGCCGGGAAUGGUGGCAGAUGCCUAUAAUCCCAGCACUCAGAGGCUGAGGCAGAAGAAUUGUCUGGAAUUUGAGGCCAGCCUGGUCUACAUAAUGAGUUUAAGGACACCCUGAACUACAUAGUGACACCCUAUCUAAAAAAAAAACCAAAUAAAUUAAUAAAAAUGUCAUGGGUUCAUAAAUGGGGCUUUUAGGAAGUGAUUAAAUCCUGGGAGCACUAUACUUUAAUCCAAGCUCCAAGCUGAAUAUGCUGUUAGGAGCUAGUGCCCAUUGGGAGAUGGGUGACAGAGUUGUGCCUUUCGAGAGUAUGUCUCUCAUUCUUCCUCUUACUGUCCUCUCAGCUCCCUGGUUGCCAGGAAGUCAACAUUGUUGUUGCACCAUGCAUUCUGCCAUGAUGUUUCUGCCUUAGAGCUAGCCAAACAUGGACUAAACUGAAAUCAUGAACUAAGUUGAAUCUCUCCUUUAUGUUGAGGGUAUUGGAUAUUUUGUCCCAGCAACAGGAAAGCUGAUAUAGAAAACUGCUGUGACUUUACUUGACUAUGUGGUUCAGAAGCCUUUGGAACUGGUUUGUAGGAGGAGUUUGGAAAAGUUUGGAGAUGUGGGCUAAGAAGCUCUAGAAUGCUCUAAGCAGAGCUUAAUGGGCAUGUCUGGUUGGAGGGCAGAAGACCAGAAUACUGAUAAAAAUGGGACCAGUAAUUGCCAGGUUCAUGAAGUUUCAGAUGAAAAUGAGGACUCUAUUGGGAACUGGAGUAGAAGCCAUGUAUGUUAAAUUCUGGCAAAGAUGUUGUCUACAUUUUGCUCAUGUCCUAAGACUUUGUAUGAGAUUGAAUUUUAAAAUGUUGAUCUAAUUAAUUAGUUAAUGUUGGUGGAGAAAAUUUCAAGAUAGAACAUUUUGACUAUUGCAUGAGUAUCGCUGGCUGUUUUUAAUGAGAUUUACAGUGAAAAUUUGGAGCAAAAAGCAGAUCCAAGACAUUUGGAAACUUUGCAGUUUGGCCAGAAAUGAAGCUAAGUAAAGUUGGGGCCACAGAAGGUGUGGCUGACAAACAGAUUAGAACCAUUUUUUAAAAGCCUAUUACUUUGUACAGAGGCAGUAGGAAAGAGCACAUCUCAGGAAUUGACCAGACCUAGCUAUUGCAGGCUCAAUGGUAGAAAUGGGUAAGCUCCUUUGAAAGCCUUUGAAAAGAGAGCCUCAGGGUGCCAUGCUCAUUCAGGGCCACAUAGGAAAGUUUUCCUGCUUUCAGCCAUCCAGGCACUCAGGUCACUGAAGCUCUGAGGGGGUCAGGCUACUGCUCAAGCUGGUGGCAGAUCUUGGCAUCAUCCACAUAGGCAUGCAGAAUAUAAGAGUUGUGGGAUCAUAGAGGCUUCCACCCAGAUUUCAGAGGAAGUCCUGGGAAGCCAAGAACUGCAGAGUGACAGGGUGACAGUUUCUGCCAGUAGCUCCUGGUAUGCCAAUGGAUGAAACAACGAGAAUGAAAAUUAAGCUGCAGUGAAAACCCCAGGAAGUUGGAGAUGCCAGGAACACAGAACAUUUGCUGAGAAGAGUCAUAGGCAGUGAACAGAGCUAGUGCAAGAGAAAGCCUCGUGUGGCUUUCCACCAAGGCCACAAGUGUGGGACUGCUCAGGUCUUUUUGCACUCACAUCUCACCACUUGCACCCCAGCUGGGGCUGGGCAUAGAUCUAUAGGACUUAAUGGCUGGGUUUCCCUGCUGGGUUUUGUUUUUCCUCUGGUCUGAUUCCUUUCUUUGCCCUCAUUCCUCCCUUUUGGAAUGGGAAAGUUUACCCUAGACCAUUGUAUGUUGGAAGCAUUUAACUUUCUUUUUAUGUUUUUACAGAGGCUCGCAGCUAAGAGUUUGCCUUGAGACUUAGAAGAGACUUUAGACUUGGACUAUUGAGAUUCUGGCCACUCUUGAAGAUGGAGUGAAUGUAAUUUGCAUAAGCAAAUGGACAUCAAAUGUUUGAUCUAAAAUAUGCUCCUAAAAUUUCAGGAGUUCAGGGAUGGGGUUAUUGGAAGGUGAUUGAAUCAUGAGGGCACUAUACUCUGCAGAGUAAUCCAUUGAUGAGUUCCCAGGUGAAUGUGCCAUCAGGAGGUGGGCCCCAGUUGGAGGUCAUGGGUUACUGGAGGCAUGCUGAAGGCAGAUGUAUCUCUCACUCUGGCUCUGGCUAGUCAUGUCUACUUCUUGACUGCCAGGACAUUAGCAUCUUCACUCCACCACACCCUUCUACAAUGUUUCUGGCUUGGAGCUAUCCAAACAUGAGCUGAAACCAUGAACCAAAUUAAACCUCUCCUUUAAGUUGUUGGUUAUUUCAUCCCAGCAAUGGAAAGCUGAGUAACACAGACUACAGCUACUUUUACUCCAUUUACAUGAAAUGUCCAGAAUAGAUCAAUCCAUGCAGACAUUAAGUAAAUUAGCAGUUUCCAGGAGAAAGGGAAAAGAGGGUAUUAGAAGUGACUGCUGGGCCAGGGAUUUAGCUCAGUAGCACCAUGCCUGCCUUGCAAGUGCAAGGUCCUGAGUUCAAUCUCUGGUACCAAAAAAAACCCAGAAGUGACUGCUGAUAGGUACUUUUUGGGGUGACAAAAAAUGUUCUAAAAUUAGGUAAUGAUGGCUGCAAAACAUUGAAUAUACCCCAAAAACCACUGUAUUUUAUUCUUUGAUAGAGUAAAUUUUAUAUCAAUUUACAUUUAUUAUAAUUUUAUCUCAAACUAAAUUACAAAAAAUAAUUGAGU